AUUGAACGCUGGCGGCAUGCCUUACACAUGCAAGUCGAACGGCAGCACGGAGCUUGCUCUGGUGGCGAGUGGCGAACGGGUGAGUAAUAUAUCGGAACGUACCCUAGAGUGGGGGAUAACGUAGCGAAAGUUACGCUAAUACCGCAUACGAUCUAAGGAUGAAAGUGGGGGAUCGCAAGACCUCAUGCUCGUGGAGCGGCCGAUAUCUGAUUAGCUAGUUGGUAGGGUAAAAGCCUACCAAGGCAUCGAUCAGUAGCUGGUCUGAGAGGACGACCAGCCACACUGGAACUGAGACACGGUCCAGACUCCUACGGGAGGCAGCAGUGGGGAAUUUUGGACAAUGGGCGAAAGCCUGAUCCAGCAAUGCCGCGUGAGUGAAGAAGGCCUUCGGGUUGUAAAGCUCUUUUGUCAGGGAAGAAACGGUGGGAGCUAAUAUCUCUUGCUAAUGACGGUACCUGAAGAAUAAGCACCGGCUAACUACGUGCCAGCAGCCGCGGUAAUACGUAGGGUGCAAGCGUUAAUCGGAAUUACUGGGCGUAAAGCGUGCGCAGGCGGUUUUGUAAGUCUGAUGUGAAAUCCCCGGGCUCAACCUGGGAAUUGCAUUGGAGACUGCAAGGCUAGAAUCUGGCAGAGGGGGGUAGAAUUCCACGUGUAGCAGUGAAAUGCGCAGAUAUGUGGAGGAACACCGAUGGCGAAGGCAGCCCCCUGGGUCAAGAUUGACGCUCAUGCACGAAAGCGUGGGGAGCAAACAGGAUUAGAUACCCUGGUAGUCCACGCCCUAAACGAUGUCUACUAGUUGUCGGGUCUUAAUUGACUUGGUAACGCAGCUAACGCGUGAAGUAGACCGCCUGGGGAGUACGGUCGCAAGAUUAAAACUCAAAGGAAUUGACGGGGACCCGCACAAGCGGUGGAUGAUGUGGAUUAAUUCGAUGCAACGCGAAAAACCUUACCUACCCUUGACAUGGCUGGAAUCCUUGAGAGAUCAGGGAGUGCUCGAAAGAGAACCAGUACACAGGUGCUGCAUGGCUGUCGUCAGCUCGUGUCGUGAGAUGUUGGGUUAAGUCCCGCAACGAGCGCAACCCUUGUCAUUAGUUGCUACGAAAGGGCACUCUAAUGAGACUGCCGGUGACAAACCGGAGGAAGGUGGGGAUGACGUCAAGUCCUCAUGGCCCUUAUGGGUAGGGCUUCACACGUCAUACAAUGGUACAUACAGAGCGCCGCCAACCCGCGAGGGGGAGCUAAUCGCAGAAAGUGUAUCGUAGUCCGGAUUGUAGUCUGCAACUCGACUGCAUGAAGUUGGAAUCGCUAGUAAUCGCGGAUCAGCAUGUCGCGGUGAAUACGUUCCCGGGUCU
This 1352-nucleotide ribosomal RNA is filed under the name uncultured bacterium. RNAcentral's name for it is "bacterial SSU rRNA". It matches the Rfam family "Bacterial small subunit ribosomal RNA", at positions 28 to 1381 of the family's 1533-position model. The record is from RNAcentral.